This 465-nucleotide ribosomal RNA is filed under the name Vreelandella stevensii. Its description in RNAcentral is "partial 16S ribosomal RNA". It matches the Rfam family "Bacterial small subunit ribosomal RNA", at positions 338 to 795 of the family's 1533-position model. Lineage: Bacteria; Pseudomonadati; Pseudomonadota; Gammaproteobacteria; Oceanospirillales; Halomonadaceae. The record is from RNAcentral.
CCUACGGGAGGCUGCAGUGGGGAAUAUUGGACAAUGGGGGCAACCCUGAUCCAGCCAUGCCGCGUGUGUGAAGAAGGCCCUCGGGUUGUAAAGCACUUUCAGUGAGGAAGAACGCCUGGUGGUUAAUACCCAUCAGGAAAGACAUCACUCACAGAAGAAGCACCGGCUAACUCCGUGCCAGCAGCCGCGGUAAUACGGAGGGUGCGAGCGUUAAUCGGAAUUACUGGGCGUAAAGCGCGCGUAGGUGGCUUGAUAAGCCGGUUGUGAAAGCCCCGGGCUCAACCUGGGAACGGCAUCCGGAACUGUCAAGCUAGAGUGCAGGAGAGGAAAGUAGAAUUCCCAGUGUAGCGGUGAAAUGCGUAGAGAUCGGGAGGAAUACCAGUGGCGAAGGCGGCCUUCUGGACUGACACUGACACUGAGGUGCGAAAGCGUGGGUAGCAAACAGGAUUAGAUACCCCAGUAGUC